RNAcentral lists this ribosomal RNA (490 nucleotides) under uncultured bacterium. Its description in RNAcentral is "partial 16S ribosomal RNA". It matches the Rfam family "Bacterial small subunit ribosomal RNA", at positions 30 to 507 of the family's 1533-position model. The record is from RNAcentral.
AUUGAACGCUGGCGGCAUGCUUUACACAUGCAAGUCGAACGGCAGCACGAAAGAGCUUGCUCUUUUGGUGGCGAGUGGCGCACGGGUGAGUAAUGCAUCGGAACGUACCGAGUAAUGGGGGAUAACUGUCCGAAAGGAUAGCUAAUACCGCAUACGCUUUGAGAAGGAAAGUGGGGGCUCUUCGGACCUCACGUUAUUCGAGCGGCCGAUGUCUGAUUAGCUAGUUGGUGGGGUAAAGGCCUACCAAGGCGACGAUCAGUAGCGGGUCUGAGAGGAUGAUCCGCCACACUGGGACUGAGACACGGCCCAGACUCCUACGGGAGGCAGCAGUGGGGAAUUUUGGACAAUGGGCGCAAGCCUGAUCCAGCCAUGCCGCGUGUCUGAAGAAGGCCUUCGGGUUGUAAAGGACUUUUGUUAGGGAAGAAAAGGAUAGUGUUAAUACCAUUAUCUGCUGACGGUACCUAAAGAAUAAGCACCGGCUAACUACGUG